CUAGCCCUAAACCCAAAUAGUUACAUAACAAAACUAUUCGCCAGAGUACUACUCGCAACUGCCUAAAACUCAAAGGACUUGGCGGUGCUUCACAUCCACCUAGAGGAGCCUGUUCUAUAAUCGAUAAACCCCGAUAGACCUUACCAACCCUUGCCAAUUCAGCCUAUAUACCGCCAUCUUCAGCAAACCCUAAAAAGGAACAAUAGUAAGCACAAUCAUAGCACAUAAAAACGUUAGGUCAAGGUGUAGCUUAUGGGUUGGAAAGAAAUGGGCUACAUUUUCUACAUAAGAAUAUCCACCAUACGAAAGUUUUUAUGAAACUAAAAACCAAAGGAGGAUUUAGCAGU
Molecule: ribosomal RNA, 347 nt
Filed under: Sus scrofa (pig)
Lineage: Eukaryota; Metazoa; Chordata; Mammalia; Artiodactyla; Suidae
Description: partial small subunit ribosomal RNA
Rfam family: Bacterial small subunit ribosomal RNA
Source: RNAcentral